This 510-nucleotide ribosomal RNA is filed under the name uncultured bacterium. RNAcentral's name for it is "partial 16S ribosomal RNA". It matches the Rfam family "Bacterial small subunit ribosomal RNA", at positions 28 to 507 of the family's 1533-position model. The record is from RNAcentral.
GACGAACGCUGGCGGCGUGCUUAACACAUGCAAGUCGAACGAAGAGCGAUGGAAGCUUGCUUCUCUCAAUCUUAGUGGCGAACGGGUGAGUAACGCGUAAUCAACCUGCCCUUCAGAGGGGGACAACAGUUGGAAACGACUGCUAAUACCGCAUACGAUCUAAUCUCGGCAUCGAGGAUAGAUGAAAGGUUGCCUCUACAUGUAAGCUAUCACUGAAGGAUGGUAUUGCGUCUGAUUAGCUAGUUGGCGGGGUAACGGCGCACCAAGGCGAUGAUCAGUAGCCGGUCUGAGAGGAUGAACGGCCACAUUGGGACUGAGACACGGCCCAGACUCCUACGGGAGGCAGCAGUGGGGAAUCUUCCGCAAUGGACGAAAGUCUGACGGAGCAACGCCGCGUGAGUGAUGACGGCCUUCGGGUUGUAAAGCUCUGUUAAUCGGGACGAAAGGCCUUCUGGCGAAUAGUGAGAAGGAUUGACGGUACCGGAAUAGAAAGCCACGGCUAACUACGUG